AAACUUAAAAGAAGACGUUGGGAUAGGGUGGGGUUCAGUGGUGGUGAGAGCCUUAGUCCACGAAAGGUCUUGUGCUCAAGCCCUGGCAAUGCACACAUCCAAAAGUCUUUUGAUAUUCUUUGGGGAUAUAAACCUAAAUCAGUUCCUUGAGCACGGGUCAAUUAAGUGAUUCACUUCUAACAAAAUGAAACUGGAAGCAGUGCUGCGUAUUUGAGUAGCCUGUAUGGCAGCGCAGCAUCCCCUAGGCAGACACACUCUCUCCUGGAUCCUUCGCUCUGUGGGAAGAAGCUGUCCGUUUUGAGAAACCUCAGAAACCCCUGGGAGAAAACCUAAAGCCAACUCUGUGAGCUAAGUCCAGGACUUGACCAGCAGGCGGCAGUAUCACACAGCGCACACUAAAAUAGACAAGCUUCUCAAUGGACUACACCCUGGGGAAGAUUCCAGCUCAGAGACCCUGUUCAGAAGCAGGGGAAUUCCUGGGGAACAGGGGUCUUCAGAUGGCCAGUCAUCUGCUCACCUCUGCACAUGGGCACGGGAGUCACUGCAGAAGAGUCUACCUAAAAGCCUGACCAUCUCAUUCUUCAAGACUAAAGCCACAAAGGUCUCACACUAGCAUGAAGUUGCUGAAGCCCCUGGAGAUUCAGGAACCCAGUGUAGCCACCAACAGAAGAGCUCUGGUCCUGGACUCUGCCUUCCUGCUGUACACUCCUGCUGGCCUGCAUGGGCUCACCUUGGGUGGAGAAGGUAACUCCAUCUCUUGGAAUGAAGAAGUUGGUCCAAAACACCUCCAGCCUGUCAGAAAGCCGAGACACACAGGCUAUGACGAAGUCCUUUCAGAAUGGGCAGGGAGACGUACAGAUGAGGAAAUUCACUUCAGCAGGGAAUCUGCUAAGCGUGGCAGGAUUCCUGCUCUGGACUCUCAAAGCCUCCCGUUAAUGGAAACAGCAGGUUAACCUGGUCUGACCAACAGGAAGCCACGUGACCCAAUCUCUGUACCACGGAUGCCUUGAACGUGCAGCUUAGACCUCGAGAGAGACUCGGGGAGACAAUUGCCAUUAUCAGAGGGACGAACCCAGUCAUGGAGAGUGUGCUCCUCAGCCAGGGUCCUCCUGCACGAAAGCAACCGAAGCAGAAAACUGAGGGUCAAUGUGGCGAGAACAAAGCGGAAACUCAGUCUCCAGGAGAAAACCAGAUCUGAUGAGCACUCACGGGCUGGGGAAAGGCUCGGUGGGUGAAGUGCCUGUCCUGCAAACAUGGGGACCUGCGUUCAGAUCUCCACCCCGGUGUCAGCAGCCAGCAAGGGGGCUGCAGCUGUAACCCCAGUGCUGGGAUGGGAGCCGAGGCCUGUCCAUCACUAGAGCUCAGUGGCCAGGCAAUCUAACCAAUCUGUGAGCUCAGGAUUUAGUGAGAGGGAGGAGGGAGACAUAAACCAAAUAAAUAAAUGUAAUUGUAAAUAAAUAAA
Molecule: small RNA, 1462 nt
Filed under: Rattus norvegicus (Norway rat)
Lineage: Eukaryota; Metazoa; Chordata; Mammalia; Rodentia; Muridae
Description: uncharacterized LOC102547750
Source: RNAcentral